This 317-nucleotide long non-coding RNA is filed under the name Elaeis guineensis (African oil palm). RNAcentral describes it as "long non-coding RNA (EGUI_LNC004817)". The record is from RNAcentral. Lineage: Eukaryota; Viridiplantae; Streptophyta; Magnoliopsida; Arecales; Arecaceae.
GAGGGGUACCUUGCCUGGGCUGAUUGGAGACUGAGUUGAAGCUGAAGCAGGACCUGGAGCAGGGAUUGGAGUAGGAGAGGUUCGGCUACUAAUCUCUUUCUGCGCACACUCUCUUCCAACCUGCGAACGGAUUUUCUCCUCUGCGGUAGCUUCAUUUUGGGAGCCAUUUGCACCAGAAGGACUUGCAUGGAGCUUUGGAGACUAAAUGUGAGGCAGAGAGGAAAGGAUUUUGGAAGGAAAAAGGCAAGGAUUUGAAGAGUUAAAUCACCGGUUUGGAGAAGAGGGGAUGAUUCUAGGGUAAGCUCGAACCGCCCCAA